ACCCCAAAUUGGCAAAUCAUCAUAAUACAUUUGAAAGUAGUAGUCCUUGUCUACUGCAGCCCGAAAUCUAGCAACGUCUUCCUUUGAAAGUGUUUUCUUGCAAACAGUAAUAGAAUCCUUCUCUUGCAAGAAGUCGAGUUUGUAUGGGGCACUAACUAAACGAUCUCCAUUUAAUACUUCCCCAAGAGCCUCCUUUUUCUCCUUCACGUCAUCUGGUACGCAGAAUGGGAGAUCGAAGUAGCGGUAAGUCUCACUCGGAUUAUGAAAUGGGCCAACUUUGUUAGCAUAGAGAGGAACGGAAUCUCCAUCUUUAUAGCGAUGAUCGGAUCCAUCAGAUCUCACCCGAAGAGAUCCGCAGAGGAGAAAAAGUAAGGCGAUGAAAACCACCGCCCCAAAUCUUCCCAUUGUGAAGGAAGCAGAGAGGUAGAAGCAGGG
Molecule: unclassified non-coding RNA, 435 nt
Filed under: Hevea brasiliensis (rubber tree)
Lineage: Eukaryota; Viridiplantae; Streptophyta; Magnoliopsida; Malpighiales; Euphorbiaceae
Source: RNAcentral